RNA transcript from Sebastes umbrosus (honeycomb rockfish), 3942 nucleotides. It is a transcript of the gene named chromosome 5 C19orf44 homolog, with no coding region annotated. The transcript has 12 exons. The record is from RefSeq and is a predicted model, not a curated record. NCBI's taxonomy places the organism in Eukaryota, Metazoa, Chordata, Actinopteri, Perciformes, Sebastidae.
GAAGAAGAAGAAGAGAGCAGCUGCUCCAUGGAGACAAGAGACGCCGACGCGUCGCUAUGCACACAGCAGGCUGUAAGCGACCAGAGGUUAGCAACAUUAUGAGACCUUUUACUGAUGUGAACUUGUACUAAAACGUGUAGGCUCUGAGGGACUGAACUAUGACGCACUUUGCUUCAGAGUGCAUCGUAUGUAACUUCAGUUAGCAUAGCUAGCUAACACUGCUGUCUCCACCGCGGGGUGAAGCAGCCCAAGCAUGGGUGAGCUACUGUUACAAUAACGUGUAAACAUGUAGGUUAACAUUGUACUGUAUAUUGAUAGUUGGCCAGACAACGUUUAAGAGAUGUGGAAACGAGGCGGUCGCAGCUCGGCUCUGGACCGAGCUCAGGCUCUGCUGUCCGCCAAGAGGAGCAGUGGAGGAGAGGCUGAGUCUGUGCGGGGAAAGACAGCACACACUGUUGCUGUUGUUGGGUCUCUGAAAACCAAAUCUUCCCCAAAUCCACACCCUUUAUUGUCAGAUCUGAGUGACCUGUCCUCGGGCAGCUCAGUUCCUCAGCAUGGAGCUGACACCCUGGGCUCUGCUGCUGGGAACAACCAAGAAAGAGAGGGGCCUUCUGCCAAGGAUCUCAGACCUCCGAGCUCUCUGGAUGGAGGAGGGAGCAGGUUCUUGAAGAAGGCUCCACCACCUGCCACCAACCGCAGCCAGUCACCUGUCAGCAAGAGCCAAAUGCAGCCGGUGCCUGAACACAGAAAUGUGUCAUCUUCCCAGCGAGGCUCCCAGACUGCUGCUUUGAGUAGACUGGCUCAAAUUGAGAGCCGCAUCCGCAGCCGCAAGCAGGUUCAGGAACAGGCCAGACAGGAGCAGAGACCUGCUGGGAAUCUAACCUCAGACGUGGGAAUCUCACCACCACCGCCACCACCAGCCGCCCAGUCCCUGGAGGCCUCCAGUGGUGACCAGAACCUGAAGGGGAGAAGUUUCCUCAAAAGCAAGACUGCUCUAGCUGUUAACAGUAGUGAUGCUGCUGCUGCUGCUGCUGCUGCUGCUAGGUCUCCAAAAAGUGCAGAUGUUGGUGCCAGGUCCAGGUCCAGAGCUGCUGAUGCUGUAGUUCCUUCGUCAGUGAGAGUAGUGAGUGGGGUGAGCCUGGAAAGUGAUGAAGAGGACAUGAGGAAACUGCUUGGAGACUCGUUGGAUUCAACAGACAACAGCUUCCUAAUGCCAAGGAGACCCUCUUCCAUAAGAACAGCAGACAAGAUGUUGAGCAAAAGCAGUCAGAAGGUCCACGCCUCACCUCCUCCUGCCGCUGUCCCUCCCUCAUCAUCCUCCAACGCAGCGCCACCCCGCUCCCCUGCCUCUCCUUCUCGCCACAGUUCUCCUUUUCGAUUCACCGGCCAGGCUCAGGCCCACUUCAGCCCCUCUGUGCUCUCCCCUUCCCCCUCUCCUCCCCGUGUCUCCCCAUCUCCUCCGGGGAGACUGAACUCCCCUCGUAGGGUGGAGAGUCCACAGCAUUCCCUCUCCUCCAUGUCAGGCCUGGGUGAGGUGCAUUCUCUGGAGGAGCUCUUCUCUGUCGGGCCUGGCUCUGAAGAUCCCCACAGUGAGAUGAGUGCAGUUACCUCUGAAGAUGAACGACAAGACUUCAAGAUAAAUGUGAUGACAUUAGACGACCUGGUCCCUGCUACCCUUGGAUUUACUGAGGAAGUACCAGGAAAGGAGAGAGAAGUCAAACACAGCGCCCCUCUUCCUGGAUCCCCUAACAGACAUCAACAGCGGCCACGAUUGAAGGAGAAGAAAGAGCAGCAGCAGCAGCAGGAGGAUGAUGCAGUGGAUUACCAAAGUGACUUUGAGAGUGAGAGCAGGACAGAUUACAGUGUCAGCCAGGUUUCAGAGCACCUCCAAGGAGCUGGAGAUGAAGAGGAGGUUGUGUCGGAGGUCAGAGAGGAGGCUUCAGAUUCAGACAUGUCCCGUGGGAGGACAGAAGAUGAUUACUCGAGCACUUUCUCAGACUCGUACACCUCACAGACCUCAGAUUGCUCCAGAUCUUCUGUAUCACAUGGUAGCCGGACCUCAUCUCGCCAGUCGCGGAGGCGGGCUUCAACUAGAAAGGUUUUCAAAGAGGCAGCAGUACAGACUCAGACUGAUCCACUGGCUUACACAUGGCCCACCGGUAUUUUGGGUCGUGCAGCGGGCAUGGCUUACAUGGAUCCCACCCCAGCGGUUGCUCAUACUCUCAGUGCGGAAAUGGUGGAAGCUCUCAGCACCUUCAACCCAGCUGUAUUUGCACUCAAUGAAAUGCUAAAACAGCAACUUGCCAUGACGAGGCGGUUCAUCGAAAGCAGCCGAUAUCUUCACUCCAGCUUGGUGCAGAGCCUGGGACCACCGAACUACAGAUACACCACGCUGGAGGACACCAAGGAGUACAUUCGCAGACACAGACCUCCCACACUGACAAUGGAGGAAGCCUUAGAAGAGGUGCUGCAGGAGAUGAGCGACUACCAUCAUAUCUGACCACAGGUACUGAAUGUCCUGGAUUACUGAACAACAGACGUUUGCCAUGUCCAUCUUGUUAAAGCCGGGCCGGCUGUGUGUUACUUUUAGUGCAUGCUAAGUCCUAGACACACCAAACAGACAUCAAAGAACUAGCGGCGACGAUGCCGACAAUUGCAUCUCCUCGUGUCGUCUGUGUCUUGGCCAAAAAGUUGCACUCAAACACACUGCGUCGACUACAGCCAACGGCCGACUAGUAUGUACUGUAUGUCUUGCGCCUGCGUGAGAUGAAAUAACUCUCAAUACUGGCAGGUAACACUAGUCUGUAUUCAUCAUUGAAAAAAAGGGAAGCUGGAAGACCAAGGACUGCGGAUAUACAAACCAUUGUUGUGAUACGCACAUGAAAUAAAGCAGCAUCUGCCGACCAUUUUCACACCACUAAGCUUCAUUCCAGAUGGCCAUGUUGUCGUGAAAAUAUCUGUGUAUUGGAAUGAUCAGAUGAGAUGAAGAUGACAAAUGAAAAGAGCUUUCGGUGUCUGCCCUUUUGACUUUACUCGUUGGCUUGCUUUCCUCACUUCCGUUUCUCUUCUCGUGCACUGAUUUGUUUAAGCUGAACAGCCAAUCAGAGCGAUUUCUCUCACUGAUGGGCUUCGCCGCCAAUUGAACAUGCUGGAUUGACCAAAAACCAUCUGACACGGGCAGACUAGAGCCGAUGGUGCGGGACGCGCCGCAAAAACUAGGGUGACAGGCGCUCACCUACGCCCCCAAACUGACCGACGGCCGACCAUCAGCUUGGUGUGUCUGGGCCUUUCGUGCAUGUGAGCGUGCCUCACUGGCGAGCUCAUGGCUGCAACUCUGCACUGCCCUCAUACGGCGGUUACAGCUGAUGACGCCAUCAUGACCGACGUCAUCAUCGCGGAAGUGUAGCGCCCACCCUCUGGUUAACAAUGUUGGCUCUGUCAGCAGUACUGUUGCUGUUGUUUGCACCAUUAGCUGUGAGCCACUGGCUCAGCCAACGCCAUGUUGAGUGCCGUGGGGAGGCGGUAGAUAUGCUCUGAAUUCUGUAUAGAGAACCUUUGAAAUAAGUUUUAUACAUAAUUAUUAAAGAAUAUUUUUUUUUACUAUGGGAAGAAUUACAGUAUUUGUUGUUAAUCCGUCACAGAACAUGCCAUGAAGAUUUGAAUGCUUUUGUAAAAGUGCAAUCAUGUCAUACAUUCAGUUUUCAAUUUGUGUCAAAGUUAAAAUCAUGUUUGAAAUGGAUUAUUUUGUAAAUUCAUCAUGUGAUUUGAAUGAAAUGAAAUGAUCAUCCCUGCUGGUGAAAUAGUGUAAAGCAUCAAUGCUGUCACUUGUGCAUUCAGAAGAAAUAAUGAUAAACAGUGUUAUAUGUCAUUCUGUUUUAAUACACUGAUUAAAAUAAAUCCCAAAAGAGGAAAUUUAGUGUGUUAACAGUUACACAUAAAGGG